CUCUUUAUAUUUCCCUCUCUAGCACAAAUAAAAACACAAUCUUUCCCUGUCUUACUACAUAUAAAACUCAUUCUUUUCUUUUUUUCUUUUAGUUUUUGAGAGAGAGACCCAGUAGAUCGAAAUCUUCUAUCUUCUAUCUCUCCUUUUUUUUUUUUUGAAGUUUGGAGAAGAUCUAAGCUCUCUAAUGGAUUUGCAAUAACACCCACUUUUUUAUUAGCCGUGUGAUUAUGAUUUUUUUUAAGCUUAUUUGCUGGGUGUGUGUUUUGAUAGUGUCAGUCUCUUGGACUCUUUGAAAUUUGUCAAUGGUGUCUGUCGAAUGAUUGAAUCUAUGGGAAUUCUUGGGUAUAUGAGAUAAUAGGAUAUGGGUAUGAGGUAAUAUUUAUUUAUUUAUUUUGCAUUUUCUUUCAAUCUAAUUUGAUUCACGGUUUUUCCUUGUUUGGCUCUUUGAUUAAUUAGGUUUUAAUUUGUUUCAUGCUUUUAUUAGUAAGUAGUCUUGAUUUUGAGUUUGAUAAAUUGUUGGGAUUAUUGCUUGAUCUGGGGAUUAAAACAAAAGACACUUUCUAUAUCUGGGGAUUUUAGUUUAGUUUGAUUUUUGGGUUUUUCUUAUUUGGUGAUUUGGUUAAUUAAGUUUUAAUUUGUUUUCAUGCUUUUAUUAAUAAGUAGUUUUGAGUUUGAGUUUGAUAUAUUGUCGGGUUUAUUGCCUGAUCUGGGGGAUUAAAACAAAAGAUCACCUGUUUCAUCUUGGGGAUUAAAAUAAAAGACACCUGUUUGAUCUGGGAGGUAGUGAAGCACCAUGACAAACCCCAGAUCUUUUAGCAGAGAAGGUAAUUGUCCAGUUUUAGAUUCUGGGACCCACGUGAAAUAACAUAUAGCUCUGGUACUGAUAUGUAAAACAAAAACAUGUUUGAUCUGGGACGCUGGUGAACUUGAGAGUUGAGAGAAUUUUUGGGCCUUCUAGGGUUUUGAUUCGUCAUGAACUCAUGGGCCCAUGGAGAGGGCAUCUUUUUCCUGUUUAAAAACGAUAUACCCAAGAUGGAGCGAUUGCAAUGAUCUGGAGAGAAACAAUGAGAGAGACCUUUGUAGAUGAGAUGAUCUGGCUAAAAGCCCUUUUAGGGCUUCUGCGGCCGCUUUUUACCUUUAACAACAAUCGGGUAUUGCUAACUUUCCUGUUUUUAUUUUUACUGUUCAAUCUUCCAGUUCCAAAUUCUCAUACCCUAACUUGCAAUGCUCCUGCGCCUAGCAUUAGAUUUAUUGUGAGGAAUGGCAUAUGAUGUUUAUAUUUUAAACAUCUCUAUUAACUGCCUCUGAAACUUGAUUUUGCUUUUUUCUGUUUUGGUGUUCAAACUUGGCAUUUAACUGCUUUGUAUGAAAUCUAAAUGCUGGUGCCAUAAUAAAUGUUGGAUAUUUACAAUUAUAAUGCUUGGAUGGAUAUUAUUUGCAAAGACAGGUGGAAGGAUAUUGUUUUGCAAAGGCAAGUGGAUGAGGUUAAAAUUUAGUUAAAAUACAAUGGUCAGCCAGGGUUACGCUUCUGACUUUCAUAGUCAUAACAUCCUGAUCAAUGGCCAUUGUAAGAGUAGAAGGAUCCAUGAAGCAAAACAUUGACUCCUGAUAUUCCACUCUUACAGAGUCCAUUGAUUAAGAUGUUAUAACAUUGUUCUGAAAGGAUUUCUUCUCAAAAACUGCACAUCAUGUGUUGUGCAAGAUCUCAAUGAAAAAGUUUGGAUCUGGUAUCAGAUGGAAAAAUUAUACUGUGUUUCUACGAGGAGAUUCUCAAAAUGGGAAUUUCAAUCGGAAUAUCUUUUUCAGCUCAGCAGUGCUGUGGUGGUUUUUCUUUAAAAAUAGCUAUGCUGCUACAACUCAUUUUGAUGAUCGAGACCAUGUUGCAUUACAGGAUACAGAUUCUCACUUCUGUAUCUCAAUUAUCUGUGUCCUGGUGAGAUACUUCUCAUCCGUGAAGAGAUAAGUCAAGUUCAAGAAGAACCCCUUUCCCCUUGUAAUUGUGUGAUCUUCAUGUAAAUUCUGACGAAGAUAGAAUCAUAACUUGAGAGCAAACUCUGAAAUGUUAUAGCAUCGAUUAUUUCAUCUGAACAGCACAUGCAUCUUUCUAUCUGAUCAUUGUUCACAUUUCCUAUGUUUUGAUCAUGUAACUAUGUGACAAUCAAAAAAUGAUGGGCACGUGCUGCUUAAUCAA
This is a long non-coding RNA of Populus trichocarpa (black cottonwood), 2191 nucleotides long. RefSeq lists it as uncharacterized. The transcript is spliced from 2 exons. Lineage: Eukaryota; Viridiplantae; Streptophyta; Magnoliopsida; Malpighiales; Salicaceae. The record is from RefSeq and is a predicted model, not a curated record.